This 440-nucleotide ribosomal RNA is filed under the name uncultured bacterium. RNAcentral's name for it is "partial 16S ribosomal RNA". It matches the Rfam family "Bacterial small subunit ribosomal RNA", at positions 338 to 795 of the family's 1533-position model. The record is from RNAcentral.
CCUACGGGCGGCAGCAGUGAGGAAUAUUGCACAAUGGGGGAAACCCUGAUCCAGCGACGCCGCGUGAGUGAAGAAGUAUCUCGGUACUUUAAGCUCUAUCAGCAGGGAAGAAAACGACGGUACGCGUCUCAGAAUCCCCGCCUAACUACGGUCCAGCAGCCGCGGUAAUACGUAGGAGGCAAGCGUUAUCCGGAGUUAUUGGGUGUAAAGGGAGCGUAGUCGGGGUGACAAGUGAGAAGUGAAAUGCCGGGGCUUAACUGCGGAACUGCCUCGGAUACUGUUCGGCUAGAGUGCAGGAGGGGUAGGCGGAAUUCAUGGUGUAGCGGUGAAAUGCGUAGAGAUCAGACAGAACACCGAUUGCGAAGGCAGCUUACCAGACUACUUCUGACGUUGAGGCACGAAAGCGUGGGGAGCAAACAGGAUUAGAUACCCGAGUAGUC